This is a long non-coding RNA of Populus euphratica (Euphrates poplar), 140 nucleotides long. RefSeq lists it as uncharacterized. NCBI's taxonomy places the organism in Eukaryota, Viridiplantae, Streptophyta, Magnoliopsida, Malpighiales, Salicaceae. The record is from RefSeq and is a predicted model, not a curated record. The transcript is spliced from 3 exons.
GUUGGAAAAUUGGGAUUUUCAAGUGCAAAAUCGAAUCUUAUGAUAUGUUGGGAAUCUCUUAUGAUAAUCAUCCACAUCUGAAACGUAUCUUAAUGCCGGAAAGUUAGAUAGGGUGGCCUUUACGUAAAGAUUAUAUUUCA